AGUCCACCUGCCUCCAGGGUAAUCUGCUCCAGUGUUGAACCAGCUCCAUUCAGUUCUUGCCAAGAUGUCCUGCCAGCAAAACCAGCAGCAGUGCCAGCCCCCGCCCAAGUGUCCCCCCAAAUGCCCACCCAAGUGCACUCCUAAGUGUCCUCCCAAGUGCCCAGCCCCGUGUCCCCCUCCAGCGUCUUCCUGCUGUGCCCCCAGCUCCGGGGGCUGCUGCAGCUCUGGGGGUGGAGGCUGCUGCAGCUCUGGGGGUGGAGGCUGCUGCCUGAGCCACCACAAGCUUCGCAGAUCUCUUCGACGCCGACACCAGAGCUCGGGCUGCUGUGGCAGUGGCGGUGGCCAGCACUCUGGGGGCUCCGGCUGCUGCUCUGGGGGCUCCGGCUGCUGCUCUGGGGGCUCCGGCUGCUGCUCUGGAGGCUGCUGCUCUGGGGGCUGCUCCUCUGGGGGCUGCUGCUGAACUGGGUCAUGAAGACCAACUGAAGAGCAACACUGCAGGAUUCAAAGAGCUGAUGACCUGCCCAGCCUGAGUCUUCUCUUUUUCUGGCUUGGAAGAUUGGAAGAGAAUGGAAGGGCUUCUGAAACACCCAGAACGUCCCUCUUCUUCCUGCCACGUUCUUUCCAUGGUGAGGUCUAGAGGUUUAACCUCUGAUACUCACUGGUCUGAUUUCCCACUAGAUAGUUCUUUGGAGGACUCAGUAUUGGAAUUUGGGUUAUCCCUGUAACCAUAAAGCUUUUUAUUCCUGGUG
This is a long non-coding RNA of Capra hircus (goat), 749 nucleotides long. RefSeq lists it as uncharacterized. NCBI's taxonomy places the organism in Eukaryota, Metazoa, Chordata, Mammalia, Artiodactyla, Bovidae. The transcript has 2 exons. The record is from RefSeq and is a predicted model, not a curated record.